Long non-coding RNA from Cynara cardunculus var. scolymus (artichoke), 1097 nucleotides. RefSeq lists it as uncharacterized. NCBI's taxonomy places the organism in Eukaryota, Viridiplantae, Streptophyta, Magnoliopsida, Asterales, Asteraceae. The transcript is spliced from 2 exons. The record is from RefSeq and is a predicted model, not a curated record.
GUAUUCACAGGUUCAGACUUCAGCCGGAUUAUCUUGUUUUUCCAAAGGAAGAUAACGAAUUGCGUCUUGUACCUGCAUAUCUUGUUUUUGACCUAUCAAUCGAACACAGGAUACUUGAUCAGAGUUCUUGCGACGCUUGAAGCUACUACCCCUGUUGAAUCGAUUGAAAACAACCAAGAACUUACAUGCGACAAAAGGGAUUCUGUUUGUCAGUCGUCUAUUUCAUCUGGAUUUGAUUCCUCAUUCUUUGCAUUUGAGUUGUAACUGGAUCACGAUUCACAAUAGCUUUGUUUUGAAUGUUACGAGCUCGAUUGGCAUACUUCAAUGUGUUAAGUGCUUCUUCUGCAUUUGUGUCUGCUGGACUUACACUAGCUGGUGGAUUAUAAUUCAUUGAUCUAGAAGAUACAUCAUCCUUCUUAGUGGAUCUUUUUACUCGGUGAACCAACACCAUACAGUGGUGACAGAUUUGUAAAUCUCGAGAGAAGAAAUUUGUUUUACACUGUAUUUAGAAUCUGGUUGAUUUCAAUUUAGUCACUCACUGUUUUAAUCUGUUUUGAUGAUGCAAAUGUGCAGGCUGAAACCCAAGAUGAUCCAACGCAGAGCUUACAACAGGUAAGCCCAAUGUUUGCAGUUGUCCAUAAGAUUGAUUGCCCAAAUGUUGAAGCUCCUGCUUUUGAUGUUGUUGUUUAAGAAACAAAUAUUCAUCCAAUUUGACAGCUGUUGCGUAGCAAUUAUUUUUGAUUUUGAACAGCUGAAGAAAGAAAAGGGUGGCCUAUGUUGUUGAUCUUGAUACAGAAACACAGAAACAGUUGAUGUAGCUUCCCAAUAAUGGGUCACCAAGAUCUCCAUACAUCCCUUUGUUUAGUUCUUUAUAGCAGUCAUUAGCUUCGUGCCUAUCAGGUAGAUAAGCAGCUGUCAGUUGCAGAAAUCACCAACACUCUAUUUGAGCCAUCGUCUAUGAUGAAUUUCACAGUUUGUGCAGUUGGUACAGAAACAUCACCAGUUUUUUUGAUCUUAAACAAUUGGAAUGUUAUUGUUUGUUGGAUUUAGGAGGUUCAAAAUCACAAUUUGGUUGCUGUUAAUAUUUAUGUUUUGUG